GUAGUCGAUGGGAAACAGGUUAAUAUUCCUGUACUUGGUGUUACUGCGAAGGGGGGACGGAGAAGGCUAUGUUGGCCGGGCGACGGUUGUCCCGGUUUAAGCGUGUAGGCUGGUUUUCCAGGCAAAUCCGGAAAACCAAGGCUGAGGCGUGAUGACGAGGCACUACGGUGCUGAAGCGACAAAUGCCCUGCUUCCAGGAAAAGCCUCUAAGCAUCAGGUAACAUCAAAUCGUACCCCAAACCGACACAGGUGGUCAGGUAGAGAAUACCAAGGCGCUUGAGAGAACUCGGGUGAAGGAACUAGGCAAAAUGGUGCCGUAACUUCGGGAGAAGGCACGCUGAUAUGUAGGUGAAGCGACUUGCUCGUGGAGCUGAAAUCAGUCGAAGAUACCAGCUGGCUGCAACUGUUUAUUAAAAACACAGCACUGUGCAAACACGAAAGUGGACGUAUACGGUGUGACGCCUGCCCGGUGCCGGAAGGUUAAUUGAUGGGGUUAGCGGUAACGCGAAGCUCUUGAUCGAAGCCCCGGUAAACGGCGGCCGUAACUAUAACGGUCCUAAGGUAGCGAAAUUCCUUGUCGGGUAAGUUCCGACCUGCACGAAUGGCGUAAUGAUGGCCAGGCUGUCUCCACCCGAGACUCAGUGAAAUUGAACUCGCUGUGAAGAUGCAGUGUACCCGCGGCAAGACGGAAAGACCCCGUGAACCUUUACUAUAGCUUGACACUGAACAUUGAGCCUUGAUGUGUAGGAUAGGUGGGAGGCUUUGAAGUGUGGACGCCAGUCUGCAUGGAGCCGACCUUGAAAUACCACCCUUUAAUGUUUGAUGUUCUAACGUUGGCCCGUAAUCCGGGUUGCGGACAGUGUCUGGUGGGUAGUUUGACUGGGGCGGUCUCCUCCUAAAGAGUAACGGAGGAGCACGAAGGUUGGCUAAUCCUGGUCGGACAUCAGGAGGUUAGUGCAAUGGCAUAAGCCAGCUUGACUGCGAGCGUGACGGCGCGAGCAGGUGCGAAAGCAGGUCAUAGUGAUCCGGUGGUUCUGAAUGGAAGGGCCAUCGCUCAACGGAUAAAAGGUACUCCGGGGAUAACAGGCUGAUACCGCCCAAGAGUUCAUAUCGACGGCGGUGUUUGGCACCUCGAUGUCGGCUCAUCACAUCCUGGGGCUGAAGUAGGUCCCAAGGGUAUGGCUGUUCGCCAUUUAAAGUGGUACGCGAGCUGGGUUUAGAACGUCGUGAGACAGUUCGGUCCCUAUCUGCCGUGGGCGCUGGAGAACUGAGGGGGGCUGCUCCUAGUACGAGAGGACCGGAGUGGACGCAUCACUGGUGUUCGGGUUGUCAUGCCAAUGGCACUGCCCGGUAGCUAAAUGCGGAAGAGAUAAGUGCUGAAAGCAUCUAAGCACGAAACUUGCCCCGAGAUGAGUUCUCCCUGACUCCUUGAGAGUCCUGAAGGAACGUUGAAGACGACGACGUUGAUAGGCCGGGUGUGUAAGCGCAGCGAUGCGUUGAGCUAACCGGUACUAAUGAACCGUGAGG
This 1527-nucleotide ribosomal RNA is filed under the name Escherichia coli. RNAcentral's name for it is "partial 23S ribosomal RNA". It matches the Rfam family "Bacterial large subunit ribosomal RNA", at positions 1411 to 2915 of the family's 2925-position model. Lineage: Bacteria; Pseudomonadati; Pseudomonadota; Gammaproteobacteria; Enterobacterales; Enterobacteriaceae. The record is from RNAcentral.